Molecule: long non-coding RNA, 244 nt
Filed under: Brassica napus (rape)
Lineage: Eukaryota; Viridiplantae; Streptophyta; Magnoliopsida; Brassicales; Brassicaceae
Description: long non-coding RNA (BNAP_LNC004258)
Source: RNAcentral
CUCUUGUUUUUUAUGGAAAAGUACAUUAAAAUCUAUUAUAACUUAUUUCUCAUAAAAUCUAUGAAGAUAUUGAAUAACAGGGGAAUUUAAUUCUUUCCAAAUUCUAUUUGACAAAUCCUUAAUCCAAUAACACUGGAUUUUAAUUCAUUUUUUUCAAUUCCACAAUUGAAUAACACUGGAUUUAGUAUCAGACUUAAAUUCCAUCAAACUCCAUUAAACUACCAAAUUCAAUAACACCCACUAA